UACGUAGGGGGCGAGCGUUGUCCGAAGUUACUGGGCGUAAAGCGCGCGUAGGCGGGGGGUUAAGUGAGAGGUGAAAGGCUGGGGCUCAACCCCAUGCAGUGCCUCUCAUACUGGCCUUCUUGAGGGCGGUAGGGAGAAGUGGAAUGGCUGGUGUAGCGGUGAAAUGCGUAGAUAUCAGUCGGAACACCGGUGGCGAAGGCGGCUUCUUGGGCCGUUCCUGACGCUGAGGCGCGAAAGCCAGGGGAGCGAACGGG
This 254-nucleotide ribosomal RNA is filed under the name uncultured bacterium. Its description in RNAcentral is "partial 16S ribosomal RNA". It matches the Rfam family "Bacterial small subunit ribosomal RNA", at positions 524 to 776 of the family's 1533-position model. The record is from RNAcentral.